AUUGAACGCUGGCGGCAGGCCUAACACAUGCCAGUCGAGCGGAUGAAGGGAGCUUGCUCCUGGAUUCAGCGGCGGACGGGUGAGUAAUGCCUAGGAAUCUGCCUGGUAGUGGGGGAUAACGUCCGGAAACGGGCGCUAAUACCGCAUACGUCCUGAGGGAGAAAGUGGGGGAUCUUCGGACCUCACGCUAUCAGAUGAGCCUAGGUCGGAUUAGCUAGUUGGUGGGAUAAAGGCCUACCAAGGCGACGAUCCGUAACUGGUCUGAGAGGAUGAUCAGUCACACUGGAACUGAGACACGGUCCAGACUCCUACGGGAGGCAGCAGUGGGGAAUAUUGGACAAUGGGCGAAAGCCUGAUCCAGCCAUGCCGCGUGUGUGAAGAAGGUCUUCGGAUUGUAAAGCACUUUAAGUUGGGAGGAAGGGCAAUAAGUUAAUACCUUGCUGUUUUGACGUUACCAACAGAAUAAGCACCGGCUAACUUCGUG
RNAcentral lists this ribosomal RNA (484 nucleotides) under uncultured bacterium. Its description in RNAcentral is "partial 16S ribosomal RNA". It matches the Rfam family "Bacterial small subunit ribosomal RNA", at positions 30 to 507 of the family's 1533-position model. The record is from RNAcentral.